CGUGCCUCCACCCACGCCGGCGUCGGCGGGCGUAUUUCGCCUCACAGUAGGUCGCCGCGACCCGUUGCUUUUGGGGACGUCGAAGGCCCGGACGGAUUGGUACCCUACCGGCUGGGGAUGCGGCUUCGGCUUCUCCUCUUGUCCGGUGGGCGAAACCGCCGGUGUCCUGGCUGCCCUGCGACGGUCGUAGAGACGAGCCCUCCCCUUCGGGGGGGCGGCUCUCGCGGCGUGCAAAAGGUCGGUGAUCCACCCGACCCGUCUUGAAACACGGACCAAGGAGUCUAACAUGUGUGCGAGUCAGUGGGCGCACUAAACCCAGAGGCGUAAUGAAAGUGACACGGGUUCGGCUGUCGCCUCGUGUGGCAGCCGGACUCAGGGCCGAUCCCUCACCGGUUGCCCUCGCCUCUCUCCCGCGUCUCGGUAAGCCGGGUGAGCUAUUUUCCCCGGCCGCUGCUGCGGGGCUCGGGGGGAGGCGGGGUUGCGAUGGUGUCCGUAAAAAAGAGCCUGCUGUUGCAGGGGGGCGCAGGCCCGGGACUUGCCAGGACGCCGCGAGACUGUCACUUUGCUGUGAGGCUCUCGGGUCGAUCAGCGGGUCAUGCGUGCAGUCGGCAAGUACCAUGAGCAGACAUGUUGGGACCCGAAAGAUGGUGAACUAUGCCUGGCCAGGAUGAAGCCAGAGGAAACUCUGGUGGAGGUCCGUAGCGAUUCUGACGUGC
RNAcentral lists this ribosomal RNA (716 nucleotides) under Creaserinus trinensis. Its description in RNAcentral is "partial 28S large subunit ribosomal RNA". The stretch from base 272 to 716 matches the Rfam family "Eukaryotic large subunit ribosomal RNA", at positions 665 to 894 of the family's 3401-position model. The record is from RNAcentral. Lineage: Eukaryota; Metazoa; Arthropoda; Malacostraca; Decapoda; Cambaridae.